AAAAGCAUUGGUUUUCCCUUAGAUAUUGGAUCAGAAAGGUACACUUUCAGCUUCACCAUUCGGGAUUCACCAGCACAUUUUGUAAAUGCAGCUUCCUGGGGCAAUGAAGAUUACAUCAAGUCUCUUUCUGACAGCUUUAGGGUUGGUGACUGUGUGAUAAUUGAAAAUCCCCUGAUCCAAAGAAAGGAAAUAGAAAGAGAAGAAAAAUUCAGCCCUGCAACUCCUAGCAACUGUAAACUAUUGCUCAGUGAGAAUCACUCAACAGUUAAAGUUUGUUCCAGUUACGAAGUGGACACAAAGUUACUUUCUUUGAUACAUUUACCUGUUAAAGAGUCUCAUGAUUAUUAUUCAUUGGGUGACAUUGUUGCAAAUGGACACAGUCUUAAUGGGAGGAUUAUUAACGUGCUGGCAGCUGUGAAGUCGGUUGGAGAGCCAAAAUACUUCACAACUUCAGACCGGAGAAAAGGCCAGAGGUGUGAAGUUAGACUCUACGAUGAAACAGAGUCUUCUUUUGCAAUGACAUGUUGGGAUAAUGAAUCCAUUCUACUUGCACAGAGCUGGAUGCCACGAGAAACAGUAAUAUUUGUCUCAGAUGUAAGAAUAAGUUUUGACAAAUUUCGGAACUGCAUGACAGCAACUGUAAUCUCAAAAACCAUUAUUACAACUAAUCCAGGUAAAAAAACUUUGUGAAAUUUUUUA
Mandrillus leucophaeus (drill) is the source of this 699-nucleotide long non-coding RNA. RefSeq lists it as uncharacterized. The record is from RefSeq and is a predicted model, not a curated record. The transcript has 6 exons. Lineage: Eukaryota; Metazoa; Chordata; Mammalia; Primates; Cercopithecidae.